UCCGGUUUGACACCGGCAGUCUCCCUAGAGUGCCCGGCAUAACCCGCUGGUAACUAGGGACGAGGGUUGCGCUCGUUGCGGGACUUAACCCAACAUCUCACGACACGAGCUGACGACAGCCAUGCAGCACCUGUGCUAGCGUCCCGAAGGAGGGCCCCUGUUUCCAGGGGCUUUCACUAGCAUGUCAAGCCUAGGUAAGGUUCUUCGCGUUGCGUCGAAUUAAACCACAUGCUCCGCUGCUUGUGCGGGCCCCCGUCAAUUCCUUUGAGUUUAGCCUUGCGGCCGUACUCCCCAGGCGGGGCACUUAAUGCGUUAGCUUCGGCACGGGGGGAGUCGACACCCCCCACACCUAGUGCCCAUCGUUUACGGCGUGGACUAC
This 379-nucleotide unclassified non-coding RNA is filed under the name uncultured bacterium. Its description in RNAcentral is "contains 16S-23S intergenic spacer region". The record is from RNAcentral.